UGGAGCUGAAAUCAGUCGAAGAUACCAGCUGGCUGCAACUGUUUAUUAAAAACACAGCACUGUGCAAACACGAAAGUGGACGUAUACGGUGUGACGCCUGCCCGGUGCCGGAAGGUUAAUUGAUGGGGUUAUCCGUAAGGAGAAGCUCUUGAUCGAAGCCCCGGUAAACGGCGGCCGUAACUAUAACGGUCCUAAGGUAGCGAAAUUCCUUGUCGGGUAAGUUCCGACCUGCACGAAUGGCGUAAUGAUGGCCAGGCUGUCUCCACCCGAGACUCAGUGAAAUUGAACUCGCUGUGAAGAUGCAGUGUACCCGCGGCAAGACGGAAAGACCCCGUGAACCUUUACUAUAGCUUGACACUGAACACUGGUCCUUGAUGUGUAGGAUAGGUGGGAGGCUUUGAAGUGUGGACGCCAGUCUGCAUGGAGCCAUCCUUGAAAUACCACCCUUUAAUGGCUGGUGUUCUAACGUGGGCCCCUGAUCGGGGUUGCGGACAGUGUCUGGUGGGUAGUUUGACUGGGGCGGUCUCCUCCUAAAGAGUAACGGAGGAGCACGAAGGUCAGCUAAUCCUGGUCGGACAUCAGGAGGUUAGUGCAAUGGCAUAAGCUGGCUUGACUGCGAGCGUGACGGCGCGAGCAGGUGCGAAAGCAGGUCAUAGUGAUCCGGUGGUUCUGAAUGGAAGGGCCAUCGCUCAACGGAUAAAAGGUACUCCGGGGAUAACAGGCUGAUACCGCCCAAGAGUUCAUAUCGACGGCGGUGUUUGGCACCUCGAUGUCGGCUCAUCACAUCCUGGGGCUGAAGUAGGUCCCAAGGGUAUGGCUGUUCGCCAUUUAAAGUGGUACGCGAGCUGGGUUUAGAACGUCGUGAGACAGUUCGGUCCCUAUCUGCCGUGGGCGCUGGAGAAUUGAGGGGGGCUGCUCCUAGUACGAGAGGACCGGAGUGGACGCAUCACUGGUGUUCGGGUUGUCAUGCCAAUGGCAUUGCCCGGUAGCUAAAUGCGGAAGAGAUAAGUGCUGAAAGCAUCUAAGCACGAAACUUGCCCCGAGAUGAGUUCUCCCUGACCCUUUAAGGGUCCUGAAGGAACGUUGAAGACGACGACGUUGAUAGGCCGGGUGUGUAAGCGCAGCGAUGCGUUGAGCUAACCGGUACUAAUGAACCGUGAGGCUUAACCUUACAACGCCGAAG
RNAcentral lists this ribosomal RNA (1183 nucleotides) under Klebsiella michiganensis. RNAcentral describes it as "bacterial LSU rRNA". It matches the Rfam family "Bacterial large subunit ribosomal RNA", at positions 1762 to 2925 of the family's 2925-position model. The record is from RNAcentral. Lineage: Bacteria; Pseudomonadati; Pseudomonadota; Gammaproteobacteria; Enterobacterales; Enterobacteriaceae.